Non-coding RNA from Vicugna pacos (alpaca), 1210 nucleotides. The record is from RefSeq and is a predicted model, not a curated record. NCBI's taxonomy places the organism in Eukaryota, Metazoa, Chordata, Mammalia, Artiodactyla, Camelidae.
UUCAUGUAUAACUGAAAAAUUGUGCUCUACACUGGAAUUUGAUGCAACAUUGUAAAGCUGUUAUUAUUCAAUAAAAAAUUUUUAAAAAAAAGAGAGAGACCCAUUUCCACUGCCAAAGCCCUGGCUGUGAUUUUCAAAGACAGGGAAGGGAUGCCGUGAAUGCCAGCUACAGCACUUUAAUUGGAUGGGUUUCAUAAUUAAAGUCUCCUUAAGCAAAGACUUCUGUUUAAUUUGCCUUUCCAGACUUUUUGGUAGAAAUUGCAGAGGCACGGGGAAGACCAGCGCAUCGUCAUUGGCAGUCAACCUUCACAUCACAACAGCCUUGAAUUUAGGGGAGAAGCGGAUGCAGCAUAUGUGGAAGACUGGCCUUUGGCCGUGGGAUGGGGAGGAGGGUUCACAGAUCACUUGGGCACACCCUGAAAGGAGCCCCUUUUUGGAAUGGCCUCAUCUCAAACAUGGAACUUGUUAAAGGUGUGCACUAAACACCUCCAAAAGAUGUUUUAUGUGGUGUGAACCUUGAUGUGACGGACCAGCCAGGAUAGUUUCGCACUUACCUAGGCACCUCUGUCGUACAGAUUUUGCCUUCAGCCCUUGGAAACUGCUGCCUGCUGGGGUCUGUUUUGCCAGAUGGGAUUUCACGCUCCUUUUGUUCUGCAUUAACCUGAGUCAGGCUCACUUGACCUCCUCUCAGCUCUGCUGUGUGCAGAGCCUUUGAUCCCAUGAAAGUACAUUCCACUGUUAAUUUCCUCAAGCAAGUGUGAAGUCCAUCUCCAUCCUGCAUCAGAAGGCUUGUCAGAAAUGAAAAGGAAUUUGAGGUGACAUCAGUGUUUGACAAGGUAUGAUUACCCUUUCUCUGCCAAAGCAGGAGCCAUGGAAGUGGGUGCAGUCAGGCUGCAGCAGGGCUCCCCCCACCUGAGUCCCUGGCUGGCUUUUUGGUAUCUGGGGCAGUGACCUUGUAAAGCCUGCAUUGUGAAGUUGGCUGCGUGUGUGUCCAAAGGAAAUACUACAUAUUAAAUAGGAAAGCAGGGGUGGAAAGUUCCAGGAAAUUGAAAGGUGAGGUUGACACGUCCUUAUUCACUAACGAUGCUUCUGUUUUUCUUUCUGAAAAACAAUGAUGAUUUAAAGUUUGAUCUUAGAACAAACUGGCUCUUAUCCAUAACUUUAUAAACAUCCUUUCUUAACUACUUAUUAAAUAAAAUCAUACUAAUAA